RNAcentral lists this ribosomal RNA (306 nucleotides) under Triticum aestivum (bread wheat). RNAcentral describes it as "partial small subunit ribosomal RNA". Lineage: Eukaryota; Viridiplantae; Streptophyta; Magnoliopsida; Poales; Poaceae. The record is from RNAcentral.
AUGUUGAGAUGGAUGUGUAGCCACACAAGAAAGGACCGGGUCCGGAAUGGCGAUAUAUGUGAGAGAGUUGGGGUGGCGCCAAUUGAAGAGAAGCUUGUCCAACAUAGUCUGAGAUGGUUUGGGCAUGUUCAACACAGGCCUCCAAAAGCGCCAGUGCAUAGCAGGCGGUUAAGGCACGUUGAUAAUGCCAAGAGAGGUCGAGGUAGACCAAACUUGACAUGGGAGGAGUCCGUAAAGAGAGACCCAAAGGACUGGAAUAUCACCGGAGAUUUAGCCAUGGACGGGCACAUGGAAGCAGAACCAUGA